This 297-nucleotide ribosomal RNA is filed under the name Clostridioides difficile. Its description in RNAcentral is "partial 16S ribosomal RNA". It matches the Rfam family "Bacterial small subunit ribosomal RNA", at positions 1 to 305 of the family's 1533-position model. Lineage: Bacteria; Bacillati; Bacillota; Clostridia; Peptostreptococcales; Peptostreptococcaceae. The record is from RNAcentral.
UUUUAUUUGAGAGUUUGAUCCUGGCUCAGGAUGAACGCUGGCGGCGUGCCUAACACAUGCAAGUUGAGCGAUUUACUUCGGUAAAGAGCGGCGGACGGGUGAGUAACGCGUGGGUAACCUACCCUGUACACACGGAUAACAUACCGAAAGGUAUGCUAAUACGGGAUAAUAUAUUUGAGAGGCAUCUCUUGAAUAUCAAAGGUGAGCCAGUACAGGAUGGACCCGCGUCUGAUUAGCUAGUUGGUAAGGUAACGGCUUACCAAGGCGACGAUCAGUAGCCGACCUGAGAGGGUGAUC